GAUGAAGAACGUAGCGAAAUGCGAUAAGUAAUGUGAAUUGCAGAAUUCAGUGAAUCAUCGAAUCUUUGAACGCACAUUGCGCCCGCCAGUAUUCUGGCGGGCAUGCCUGUUCGAGCGUCAUUACAACCCUCAGGCCCCCGGGCCUGGCGUUGGGGAUCGGCGGAGCCCCCCGUGGGCACACGCCGUCCCCCAAAUGCAGUGGCGGUCCCGCCGCAGCUUCCAUCGCGUAGUAGCUAACACCUCGCGACUGGAGAGCGGCGCGGCCACGCCGUAAAACACCCAACUCUUCUGAAGUUGACCUCGAAUCAGGUAGGAAUACCCGCUGAACUUAAGCAUAUCAAAGCGGAGGA
RNAcentral lists this unclassified non-coding RNA (350 nucleotides) under soil metagenome. RNAcentral describes it as "partial contains 5.8S ribosomal RNA, internal transcribed spacer 2, and large subunit ribosomal RNA". The stretch from base 1 to 120 matches the Rfam family "5.8S ribosomal RNA", at positions 35 to 154 of the family's 154-position model. The record is from RNAcentral.